This 482-nucleotide ribosomal RNA is filed under the name uncultured bacterium. Its description in RNAcentral is "partial 16S ribosomal RNA". It matches the Rfam family "Bacterial small subunit ribosomal RNA", at positions 28 to 507 of the family's 1533-position model. The record is from RNAcentral.
GACGAACGCUGGCGGCGUGCCUAACACAUGCAAGUCGAACGGAACUGUUUUGAAAGCUUUCUUCGGAAUGAAUUUGAUUUACUUUAGUGGCGGACGGGUGAGUAACGCGUGAGUAACCUGCCUUCAAGAGGGGAAUAACAUUCUGAAAAGAAUGCUAAUACCGCAUGACAUAUCGGAACCACAUGGUUUUGAUAUCAAAGAUUUUAUCGCUUGAAGAUGGACUCGCGUCCGAUUAGUUAGUUGGUGAGGUAACGGCUCACCAAGACCGCGAUCGGUAGCCGGACUGAGAGGUUGAACGGCCACAUUGGGACUGAGACACGGCCCAGACUCCUACGGGAGGCAGCAGUGGGGGAUAUUGCGCAAUGGGGGCAACCCUGACGCAGCAACGCCGCGUGAAGGAGGAAGGUUUUCGGAUUGUAAACUUCUUUUAUUAAGGACGAAAAAUGACGGUACUUAAUGAAUAAGCUCCGGCUAACUACGUG